Molecule: ribosomal RNA, 497 nt
Filed under: uncultured bacterium
Lineage: Bacteria
Description: partial 16S ribosomal RNA
Rfam family: Bacterial small subunit ribosomal RNA
Source: RNAcentral
GAUGAACGCUGGCGGCGUGCCUAAUACAUGCAAGUCGAGCGAACAGACGAGGAGCUUGCUCCUCUGACGUUAGCGGCGGACGGGUGAGUAACACGUGGAUAACCUACCUAUAAGACUGGGAUAACUUCGGGAAACCGGCGCUAAUACCGGAUAAUAUAUUGAACCGCAUGGUUCAAUAGUGAAAGACGGCUUUGCUGUCACUUAUAGAUGGAUCCGCGCCGCAUUAGCUAGUUGGUAAGGUAACGGCUUACCAAGGCAACGAUGCGUAGCCGACCUGAGAGGCUGAUCGGCCACACUGGAACGUAGACACGGUCCAGACUCCUACGGGAGGCAGCAGUAGGGAAUCUUCCGCAAUGGGCGAAAGCUUGACGGAGCAACGCCGCGUGAGUGAUGAAGGUCUUCGGAUCGUAAAACUCUGUUAUUAGGGAAGAACAAAUGUGUAAGUAACUAUGCACGUCUUGACGGUACCUAAUCAGAAAGCCACGGCUAACUACGUG